This 635-nucleotide ribosomal RNA is filed under the name uncultured bacterium. Its description in RNAcentral is "bacterial SSU rRNA". It matches the Rfam family "Bacterial small subunit ribosomal RNA", at positions 97 to 728 of the family's 1533-position model. The record is from RNAcentral.
GGCGGACGGGUGAGUUAAGUCUGGGAACUGCCUGAUGGAGGGGGAUAACUACUGGAAACGGUAGCUAAUACCGCAUAACGUCGCAAGACCAAAGAGGGGGACCUUCGGGCCUCUUGCCAUCAGAUGUACCCAGAUGGGAUUAGCUAGUAGGUGGGGUAACCGCUCACCUAGGCGACGAUCCCUAGCUGGUCUGAGAGGAUGACCAGCCACACUGGAACUGAGACACGGUCCAGACUCCUACGGGAGGCAGCAGUGGGGAAUAUUGCCACAAUGGGCGCAAGCCUGAUGCAGCCAUGCCGCGUGUAUGAAGAUGGCCUUCGGGUUGUAAAGUACUUUCAGCGGGGAGGAAGGUGUUGUGGUUAAUAACCNCAGCAAUUGACGUUACCCGCAGAACAAGCACCGGAUAACUCCGUGCCAGAGCCGCGGUAAUACGGAGGGUGCAAGCGUUAAUCGGAAUUACUGGGCGUACAAGCGCACGCAGGCGGUCUGUCAAGUCGGAUGUGAAAUCCCCGGGCUCAACCUGAGAACUGCAUUCGAAACUGGCAGGCUAGAGUCUUGUAGCGGGGGGUAGAAUUCCAGGUGUAGCGGUGAAAUGCGUAGAGAUCUGGAGGAAUACCGGUGGCGAAGGCGGGCCC